CCUACGGGAGGCAGCAGUGAGGAAUAUUGGUCAAUGGACGAGAGUCUGAACCAGCCAAGUAGCGUGAAGGAUGACUGCCCUAUGGGUUGUAAACUUCUUUUAUAUGGGAAUAAAACGUUCCACGUGUGGGAUUUUGUAUGUACCAUAUGAAUAAGGAUCGGCUAACUCCGUGCCAGCAGCCGCGGUAAUACGGAGGAUCCGAGCGUUAUCCGGAUUUAUUGGGUUUAAAGGGAGCGUAGGUGGAUUGUUAAGUCAGUUGUGAAAGUUUGCGGCUCAACCGUAAAAUUGCAGUUGAAACUGGCAGUCUUGAGUACAGUAGAGGUGGGCGGAAUUCGAGGUGUAGCGGUGAAAUGCUUAGAUAUAACGAAGAACUCCGAUUGCGAAGGCAGUUCACUGGACUGCAACUGACACUGAGGCUCGAAAGUGUGGGUAUCAAACAGGAUUAGAUACCCGGGUAGUC
This 460-nucleotide ribosomal RNA is filed under the name uncultured bacterium. Its description in RNAcentral is "partial 16S ribosomal RNA". It matches the Rfam family "Bacterial small subunit ribosomal RNA", at positions 338 to 795 of the family's 1533-position model. The record is from RNAcentral.